Molecule: ribosomal RNA, 846 nt
Filed under: Triticum aestivum (bread wheat)
Lineage: Eukaryota; Viridiplantae; Streptophyta; Magnoliopsida; Poales; Poaceae
Description: partial small subunit ribosomal RNA
Source: RNAcentral
AUGGCGGUGGUCGGCGUUCUCGCCCUGCAGGGAUCCUACAACGAGCACAUGUCCGGUACGCCGAAUCUCCUUCUCGCGUUUCUCGCGCGUGCCGGCGACGUGUUCUCUCGUGAUUCCGUCGGGUUCUGUCUGGGCAGCGCUGAGGAGGAUCGGGGUGAAGGGGGUGGAGGUGCGCAAGCCGGAGCAGCUGCAGGGCCUCGACUCGCUCAUCAUCCCCGGCGGCGAGAGCACCACCAUGGCCAAGCUCGCCAACUACCACAACCUGUUUCCUGCACUUCGAGAGUUUGUCGGUGCAGGAAAGCCUGUGUGGGGAACUUGUGCUGGGCUCAUUUUCCUUGCAAACAAGGCGGACAAAAAUUGGGAGGCCAAGAGCUUGUUGGGGGGCUAGAUUGCACUGUCCACCGGAACUUUUUUGGGAGCCAGCUGCAAAGCUUUGAAACCGAACUUUCAGUGCCAAUGCUUGCGGACAAGGAAGGAGGCAGUAAUACAUGCCGUGGAGUAUUUAUACGAGCACCUGCUAUCUUGGAAGUAGGAUCGGAUGUUGAAAUACUGGCUGAAUGCCCUGUUCCUUCUGGUAGACCCAGCAUUACCAUACCAUCUGCCGAGGGUGUUGAGGAAGAGGUGUACUCAAAAGAUCGGGUGAUUGUUGCGGUGCGUCAAGGGAGCAUCCUCGCCACCGCUUUUCACCCAGAAUUGACAUCAGACUGUAGAUGGCAUCGCUUCUUCCUGGACAUGGACAAAGAAUCCCAUCCAAAGGCCUUCUCCGCGCUAUCUCUAUCGUCGUCUUCAAGAGGUUCAGAAGGCGGGUCAAAGACCAAGCCUUUUGAUCUUCCCAUAUUUGAAUAG